UUGAACGCUGGCGGCAGGCCUAACACAUGCAAGUCGAGCGGCAGCACGGGUACUUGUACCUGGUGGCGAGCGGCGGACGGGUGAGUAAUGCCUAGGAAUCUGCCUAGUAGUGGGGGAUAACGUCCGGAAACGGGCGCUAAUACCGCAUACGUCCUACGGGAGAAAGUGGGGGAUCUUCGGACCUCACGCUAUUAGAUGAGCCUAGGUCGGAUUAGCUAGUUGGUGAGGUAAUGGCUCACCAAGGCGACGAUCCGUAACUGGUCUGAGAGGAUGAUCAGUCACACUGGAACUGAGACACGGUCCAGACUCCUACGGGAGGCAGCAGUGGGGAAUAUUGGACAAUGGGCGAAAGCCUGAUCCAGCCAUGCCGCGUGUGUGAAGAAGGUCUUCGGAUUGUAAAGCACUUUAAGUUGGGAGGAAGGGCAGUUACCUAAUACGUGAUUGUUUUGACGUUACCGACAGAAUAAGCACCGGCUAACUCUGUGCCAGCAGCCGCGGUAAUACAGAGGGUGCAAGCGUUAAUCGGAAUUACUGGGCGUAAAGCGCGCGUAGGUGGUUUGUUAAGUUGGAUGUGAAAGCCCCGGGCUCAACCUGGGAACUGCAUCCAAAACUGGCAAGCUAGAGUAUGGUAGAGGGUGGUGGAAUUUCCUGUGUAGCGGUGAAAUGCGUAGAUAUAGGAAGGAACACCAGUGGCGAAGGCGACCACCUGGACUGAUACUGACACUGAGGUGCGAAAGCGUGGGGAGCAAACAGGAUUAGAUACCCUGGUAGUCCACGCCGUAAACGAUGUCAACUAGCCGUUGGGAGCCUUGAGCUCUUAGUGGCGCAGCUAACGCAUUAAGUUGACCGCCUGGGGAGUACGGCCGCAAGGUUAAAACUCAAAUGAAUUGACGGGGGCCCGCACAAGCGGUGGAGCAUGUGGUUUAAUU
RNAcentral lists this ribosomal RNA (929 nucleotides) under Pseudomonas protegens. RNAcentral's name for it is "bacterial SSU rRNA". It matches the Rfam family "Bacterial small subunit ribosomal RNA", at positions 29 to 951 of the family's 1533-position model. Lineage: Bacteria; Pseudomonadati; Pseudomonadota; Gammaproteobacteria; Pseudomonadales; Pseudomonadaceae. The record is from RNAcentral.